This 460-nucleotide ribosomal RNA is filed under the name uncultured bacterium. Its description in RNAcentral is "partial 16S ribosomal RNA". It matches the Rfam family "Bacterial small subunit ribosomal RNA", at positions 338 to 795 of the family's 1533-position model. The record is from RNAcentral.
CCUACGGGAGGCAGCAGUGAGGAAUAUUGGUCAAUGGGCGCUAGCCUGAACCAGCCAAGUCGCGUGAAGGAUGACUGCCCUAUGGGUUGUAAACUGCUUUUAUAUGGGAAUAAAGUGCAGUAUGUAUACUGCUCUGCAUGUACCUUAUGAAUAAGGAUCGGCUAACUCCGUGCCAGCAGCCGCGGUAAUACGGAGGAUCCGAGCGUUAUCCGGAUUUAUUGGGUUUAAAGGGAGCGUAGGCGGGUUGUUAAGUUAGUUGUGAAAGUUUGCGGCUCAACCGUAAAAUUGCAGUUGAUACUGGCAGCCUUGAGUACAGUAGAGGUAGGCGGAAUGCGUGGUGUAGCGGUGAAAUGCUUAGAGAUCACGAAGAACUCCGAUUGCGAAGGCAGCCUGCUGAACUGUAACUGACGCUGAGGCUCGAAAGUGUGGGUAUCAAACAGGAUUAGAUACCCGAGUAGUC